Molecule: ribosomal RNA, 895 nt
Filed under: Microbacterium aurantiacum
Lineage: Bacteria; Bacillati; Actinomycetota; Actinomycetes; Micrococcales; Microbacteriaceae
Description: bacterial SSU rRNA
Rfam family: Bacterial small subunit ribosomal RNA
Source: RNAcentral
GUCGAACGGUGAAGCCAAGCUUGCUUGGUGGAUCAGUGGCGAACGGGUGAGUAACACGUGAGCAACCUGCCCUGAACUCUGGGAUAAGCGCUGGAAACGGCGUCUAAUACUGGAUAUGAGCUGCGGAGGCAUCUUCGUGGUUGGAAAGAUUUUUCGGUUUGGGAUGGGCUCGCGGCCUAUCAGCUUGUUGGUGAGGUAAUGGCUCACCAAGGCGUCGACGGGUAGCCGGCCUGAGAGGGUGACCGGCCACACUGGGACUGAGACACGGCCCAGACUCCUACGGGAGGCAGCAGUGGGGAAUAUUGCACAAUGGGCGGAAGCCUGAUGCAGCAACGCCGCGUGAGGGAUGACGGCCUUCGGGUUGUAAACCUCUUUUAGCAGGGAAGAAGCGAAAGUGACGGUACCUGCAGAAAAAGCGCCGGCUAACUACGUGCCAGCAGCCGCGGUAAUACGUAGGGCGCAAGCGUUAUCCGGAAUUAUUGGGCGUAAAGAGCUCGUAGGCGGUUUGUCGCGUCUGCUGUGAAAUCUGGGGGCUCAACCCCCAGCCUGCAGUGGGUACGGGCAGACUAGAGUGCGGUAGGGGAGAUUGGAAUUCCUGGUGUAGCGGUGGAAUGCGCAGAUAUCAGGAGGAACACCGAUGGCGAAGGCAGAUCUCUGGGCCGUAACUGACGCUGAGGAGCGAAAGGGUGGGGAGCAAACAGGCUUAGAUACCCUGGUAGUCCACCCCGUAAACGUUGGGAACUAGUUGUGGGGGUCCAUUCCACGGAUUCCGUGACGCAGCUAACGCAUUAAGUUCCCCCGCCUGGGGGAGUACGGCCGCAAGGCUAAAACUCAAAAGGAAUUGACGGGGACCCGCACAAGCGGCGGAGCAUGCGGAUUAAUUCGAUUGCAACCG